RNAcentral lists this ribosomal RNA (782 nucleotides) under uncultured Neocallimastigales. Its description in RNAcentral is "partial large subunit ribosomal RNA". It matches the Rfam family "Eukaryotic large subunit ribosomal RNA", at positions 1 to 643 of the family's 3401-position model. Lineage: Eukaryota; Fungi; Neocallimastigomycota; Neocallimastigomycetes; Neocallimastigales. The record is from RNAcentral.
AGAGAUGUGUGAUGACGCAUAUUCAAUAAGCGGAGGAAAAGAAACUAACAAGGAUUCCCCUUAGUAACGGCGAGUGAAGCGGGAAGAGCUCAAAUUUGAAAUCUUCAAGGGUUCUACCUUGACGAAUUGUAGUUUAUAGAAGUGUUUUCUGUUAGUAGAGGUGGCUAAAAGUUCUUUGGAAUAGGACAUCAUAGAGGGUGAGAAUCCCGUAUUUGGUCAUUCUUUCUAGCUUUGUGAUAGCACUUUCAACGAGUCGGAUUGUUUGGGAAUGCAGUCCAAAAUGGGUGGUAAAUUUCAUCUAAAGCUAAAUAUUGGCGAGAGACCGAUAGCGAACAAGUACCUGUGAGGGAAAGAUGAAAAGAACUUUGAAAAGAGAGUUAAACAGUACGUGAAAUUGUCAAAAGGGAAGCGUUUGACACCAGUGUUGUUUUUCCGAAAAUCAAUUACGAAUGUUUUGUUUUUGAGGAGUUAUGACUUCAUCGGCUUGCUCCUUUCUUUACUGAAACUUUCUUAAUGCACUUUUCGGUUAACAAGUCAACAUCAAUUUCUUUUGUUGUAAAAGGGUACGAGGAAGGUGGCUUUCUUUUCGGAGAAAGUGUUUAUAGCCUUGUGCCUCUGCAAUCGGAGAGAUUGAGGUCUGCAGCGUAGAUCCUUCGGGGUUAGAUACAUUUGUGCUAAGUUAUAGCUUUUCAUAGACAACUUGUUGACUAUGUUUAGUCUUGUAGCUUACUCGCUUAUGCUAUUUUACCUACGCUUAGGAUGUUGAAGAUGUAGCACAUCAU